GAUGAACGCUAGCGGCAGGCAUAAUACAUGCAAGUUGAACGAAGCCUUCGGGCUUAGUGGCGGACGGGUGAGUAACACGUAGGAACCUGCCCAGGAGUGGGGGACAACCCCGCGAAAGCGGGGCUAAUACCGCAUACGGUCUACGGACCAAAGCCUUCGGGCGCUCCUGGAGGGGCCUGCGGCGGAUUAGCUUGUUGGUGGGGUAACGGCCUACCAAGGCGACGAUCCGUAGCUGGUCUGAGAGGAUGACCAGCCACACUGGGACUGAGACACGGCCCAGACUCCUACGGGAGGCAGCAGCGAGGAAUUUUCCGCAAUGGGCGCAAGCCUGACGGAGCAACGCCGCGUGGGGGAAGAAGGCCCUCGGGUUGUAAACCCCUGUUGCGAGGGAAGAAGAUCUGACGGUACCUCGCGAGGAAGCCACGGCUAACUACGUGCCAGCAGCCGCGGUAAUACGUAGGUGGCAAGCGUUGUCCGGAUUUACUGGGCGUAAAGCGCGCGCAGGCGGGUUGGUC
Molecule: ribosomal RNA, 515 nt
Filed under: uncultured bacterium
Lineage: Bacteria
Description: bacterial SSU rRNA
Rfam family: Bacterial small subunit ribosomal RNA
Source: RNAcentral